Molecule: ribosomal RNA, 508 nt
Filed under: uncultured bacterium
Lineage: Bacteria
Description: partial 16S ribosomal RNA
Rfam family: Bacterial small subunit ribosomal RNA
Source: RNAcentral
GAUGAACGCUAGCUACAGGCUUAACACAUGCAGGUCGAGGGGAAACGACAUCGAAAGCUUGCUUUUGAUGGGCGUCGACCGGCGCACGGGUGAGUAACGCGUAUCCAACCUGCCCACCACUUGGGGAUAACCUUGCGAAAGUAAGACUAAUACCCAAUGACGUCUCUAGAAGACAUCUGAAAGAGAUUAAAGAUUUAUCGGUGAUGGAUGGGGAUGCGUCUGAUUAGCUUGUUGGCGGGGUAACGGCCCACCAAGGCGACGAUCAGUAGGGGUUCUGAGAGGAAGGUCCCCCACAUUGGAACUGAGACACGGUCCAAACUCCUACGGGAGGCAGCAGUGAGGAAUAGUGGUCAAUGGGCGAGAGCCUGAACCAGCCAAGUAGCGUGCAGGAUGACGGCCCUAUGGGUUGUAAACUGCUUUUAUAAGGGAAUAAAGUGAGUCUCGUGAGACUUUUUGCAUGUACCUUAUGAAUAAGGACCGGCUAAUUCCGUGCCAGCCGCCGCAGUAA